GGUCAAGCUAAUAGGGGCUUGCGGACGAUACCUAGGCACAGAG
RNAcentral lists this ribosomal RNA (43 nucleotides) under Leptolyngbya sp. CXA018.3. RNAcentral's name for it is "partial 23S ribosomal RNA". Lineage: Bacteria; Bacillati; Cyanobacteriota; Cyanophyceae; Leptolyngbyales; Leptolyngbyaceae. The record is from RNAcentral.